CAGGAAGCCAAAUAGAUUCAGGGUUUGUUUUGUUUCCUGGGAGAAAAACUACCUAGAAACUGGUCCUUUUUACUACCCAGUUCACAGUAUUUCCUGAGAUUAAUAAUGAUAUCUUGCAUUUGGGUGAUGCUUCAAAAUGUUUUCUUAAAGGUCUGUGUCAGAGAUUAGCUCACUUGACUCUCUAUUUUACAAUAAGGAAACUAAAGCUCAGAGAGGCAAAAGCUUGCCCAAUGUAUCACAUUCAGGAAAUGGGACCUCACAGAAGGGUACCCAGGCUUUCUAAUUUCGUAAGCCCUCUCAUCACACAGAGAAGACGGCAGAUCUACACCACUGAAAGGACAAAAGACAAAAGAAUGCUUGUGCCUCUGCCAGCCUAAUCCCUGGAAAUAAGACUUCUUUACUUCCGAGCGUUUUCCUGGGUCCUGCCUCGCAUCUGACCAGGGCAGGUGGCCUCCUCAUCACACUGCUGCCUCUGCUGUUGGCCCUGCUCAUGAAGCCACUAAACAUAUGGUCUCAGCUCUCUUGUCCUCCAAGAAAGACAACCACCACUGCUGCCUUUCUGAUCUCACGUAAGCCUGACCCUUGCUCUCCUCCAUCCAAAAAAUGAGAUAGACCCCUCCCUAACUUCCCACAGCACAACUAAGACCAGGUUAACAUGUUAACUAGACUUUAUUAAAGGUUUGGGCACCAUGGAAGGAAAGUACAACAAAGGCAGUAACUUACUAUUGCUAUAAAAGUGGUUAUUCUUCAAGUAGACAGGACCUCAGAUCUCUCAUUGGUCCAGCUUCAGGCUGGCUGACAUCUUGCCAGGAAUGUCUCAGCAUAGCCAUGACUCAGAGCCCCUUCCAAAUUCCUAGGACCAAAGAGAAGAUGCUGUUCACCUCGAUCUAAGGCCCUAGGUCCUCAUUUCUUGCCUCCCAUUGGAGCUCAUCCAAGAUGGUUGACAAUGAGAAGAUAAACUCUCUUCAAGGAAAACUCCACACCUAGCCAAGAAGCUGUGAUUUUGCUUUAGGAACCAUUGAAACUCAUAACCCUAUAACACCAUAACCCAACAGAGUUUUUCUGCCUUAAGUAAUACCUCAUGUGAAUGCAGUCAUUCAGGUAAGUGUGUGCCAGCCUUAGCCAGUCUAGCUUCUUUUUAGUAGUAACAUGAAGUGGAGGAAGAAUUGGGCCUGUAAGACCUUCAUACCAUCUUCUCUAUCCUUGUUUUCCAUUUCAAAUACUCAUAGAGCGAGACAGACGACUCUGCAAAUAUGCAGUCCUUGGUACUUAUAGUAUGGCUCACAUCCAGUUUGUGAACAGAAACAUUUUCUUAAAACACAUCUGUGAAAGCUCUUCUAAAAAAUUUCCCAAUUUACAUUAUUAAACCUUAACUUUCCAUUCUGAAGCAUUUUCUUUGGAAGUUUUUCAUCGAGUUCAGGUUUUUCUUCCAAACAAUGAUUUGGUACUCUUCUCAUUUUUCCCUAGGAACAAAGUAACAGGCUUCCUCAAGGACUCCAGCCAGAAUGUAGGACUUUCUCUUAAUUUUAAAAGUCUUGUGGAGACUGUAAAUAGCAGAGACACCAGUGUGAAGAGGGGGCCACGAAGUUUUAAAAAAUCUCAAGUUUUAGAAUCCAGAGGAUCCUUUAAGAAACUACUCUAAAAUUCAAUGGCUGCCUUAAAACAACAUGAUUUAUUCUCAUGAGUCUCAGUUGGGUGAGGCUGGGCUCCAGAGUCUGGGUUGUGAGCUGCAGGCUGCAUGUUGUGUUCAGGCCUGCCACGUGUGUCUCAUUCUGAGGCCUAGGCUGAGGUUCAGUGGCUACUGAAGCAUAUUCUUCUCAUGGCAGAUCCCCUCAGCUCAAAAGCUUACCUCAAGUGCACAAGCACAUUUCAAGCUUCUACUUGAGCCACGCCCGCUAACAUCCUAUCUGUCAAAGGAAGACAUAUGGCUAAGCCUAGUGUCAAGAGGUGGGGAAGCUCACUUAGCCCUCCCCUCCACAAAGCUGUUACACUUCUAUUACAGAAUUCUAUUACAGAGGAGCGGUAAUUAUGUCUAGUAGUUCAAUUUCCUUUCCUGGACCACCGCAGACUUUGCCUAGUUCUCUAACUACUCUCUCUUGUGUCCAGCCUUGCCCCACAUGCUCAUCAUUUAUACCUGAUUUGGUCACUCCUCUGCUUAAAUCAAUACUUCCAUUACAUGAAGAAUUGAAACUUUUUAGUAAGACCAAUGAGUUCAUCCCGGUUAGUUCUAUAACGUGUUUUAUUUCCAUUAGUCACUCUCUCUCUCUCUCUCUCCCCUCACCCUCUAAAGCUUUGCUUCCAUCUACCUGUUACUUCUCUGAACAUCUAAACGUUUUUAAGGCUUGUGGUUUUAUGCGUGUUAUUUCUUCUCCAGAAAUUUACUUUAUUUAUCAAACAAAAGUUUAUUAAAUGUCCGUGAUGUGCCAGGCACCUGGAAAGAUUAGAGGUACGUUGGAGAACAAAUUAGAAUUUGGUCCUUCCCUCGGAGAGCUUACGGGAGAGUGAGGAAAUGCACCUGCCCAGCCUUUUUGCCACAGUGAACAUGAGUCAUCUUUUAGGAUGCAGAUGUGAUCACCUAUGCCUUUCUCUGUUUUCCCCAGAGGGAGUUAAGUUUUUCCUUUUUAAUGUUCUCAUACCACUUUGCAUCAGUGCAGCUAAAUAAUAUUUUGAGAUACAAAUUAAUGCUUUUUUUUCUUUCUGUAUUUCCCCCUUUCCCCUCCUCCCUAUUCUUUGUCUAAGGAUGUUUUGGGGAAAGAAGCCUCCUUGCCUCUCCAAAAAACCACAUAAAGCCAUCGGGACCAUUUUCCUAGGUGACUGUAGGAGAAAUAUCAAGAUAAAGUGAUGUGCAACCAGCAGGGGAGAAUCCAGGUGAAAGUGGUGAAGAACAUGGGAACCUCUCUCCCAGGUGAAAAGAAUUUCCUGGCCUGGGGAAAGAAGGAAGAGAAAGAGAUCUGUAGGUCCUGGGAGCAGAGAGGACCUCUAUGCUCCUUUCGGCAAUGCCCUGAAUAUGAUCAGUAAUAGUAACAACAAUGACAAUAGCAACAGCAAUGAUAAUGAGAGCAGCUGACUGCUACUGAACACUGACUAUGUACCAGGAAUUGUGCUAAGUACUUUAUGUUACAUUACCUCAAUUUUGUCCUCACAACAACUCUGGGAGGUAGGUAAUAUACAUAUCUCCACUUUACAGAUGAAAAUCUGAAGCUUAGGAAAUGGAAGAACAUCUGCCGGAGGUCACACAGACAUGGCACGUUCAUGAUGUGAAUCCAAGUGAUGCUGAAGUCAGCCUUCUUAAACAUUCACAAUUCUGCCCCUCUUCAGUGAGGCCUCCAAGACCAGCUGCCUGGGGAACUCAGGCAGAGAAAGCUAUCUGCAGCCAGGUAAGAGCUUCUCGUUUCUCCUGCAGGUCACAGAGGUGGUUGAAGGCCCCUGGGCCUGAGGAGUCCUGCAGACAGGACAAACAAUAAACAAAGAUCAGAGGGCAAGCUCUCCACUCUUCUUUCCUCCCCAAUUCCAAUGACCCAGGUGAGAGGAUAGCGGAGAAGGAACUAAGAGUUACCAAGGGCAAAUUUUCUACUGGCCUGGAAGAUGUGGACUUGGUAUAAAAUGUAAUUCAGCAUAAUUACAGAAAAUAGCAAAUAUAUUUCUUGUGCAUACAAAUUUGUAAAGGGAGAUUUAUAUCCAUUACACAGAUUGUCUCUAUUUUCACUCUUAUCACUGCAUUAUAAUUAGAUUAUUUCGUGUAGAUUAUGAACAACUAUAAGUUAGGAAAUUUCUGUUGUUUGACUUUGUCAUCUAUACGUAGCAGAGUGCCAGGCUUAUGCUGAUUGAAUGGAUUAUUGAAAUAAUAAGAUUUGUCUAUUACUCUAUUUUUCCCCCAGCAAAUUCUGUUCACUUAAAAUGUUGAAGUCUUUAUUGUGAAUAUAAAGUCAGUUAACACAAAUAACUUAUAUCUCAAAUGUCCUUGCUCUUAGAGGUAUAUUUCCCCUGCCUUUUUUUUAUUUAUUUAUUUUUUUUACCUCUUUCUUUAUCCUUAAGACAAUCUUUUGAGAAUACAUCAGAGAAUGUAACAUGAAGACAUUUUUGGCAAAAUGUUCAUUAAUCACACUAUGUAAUUUCUAAGAGCAAAGGGUGCUAACAAACUGUAAUGACAAUCACUGCAGAAUUUAUCAAGAAAACAAUGGUGAUGACCAGAAAGAGGAAAUCCAUUCUCGGUAGAGGAAUGAUGCCGGAGAGAACGGCAACAAACGGGCUCAGCAGGAGAAGGCCUUACCACUGUCAAGGGCCAGAAAUCCAAUCACUGUCACCUGAGAGGAAAAUUAGCCAAAGAAUCAAGACUCCUCCUAGCAUUGAAGCAAUGUAACGUAAAUCAGAGCUGUUGUCGGUGUGUGUGAUGAUACAGCGACCCAGUUAGCACGCUGCCCUUCUUAGUCACUUCCUUCCUCUUCCUCCACCUCUUUCUGGUUCCUGAGCUUGGGUCCUGUGAGCUCUCCAAUUCUGUAGUCCCAUUCAUCUCAAGUAGAAUUUUUUUCUAUUGGAUAACUACCAAUGUUUACAGCUUUUAUUUGAAUUCAUGGAGAACGAUUAUGUCAGUAACCCAAAGUACCUGCCUAAACUUACAAGUCUGAACUAAAACUGUAAAGCAUUUGAGGAAAAGCACAGUUCUCAGGCUCAUUCCUUCGUUCACUCACAGACCAUCCAGUCUCCAUCUAUUGUUUACUAUAUGUUGGGCUCUGCUCUAGGCGCUGGAUUCGCAGAUUCGCUGGGAAGACAGACAUGUGAAUAAAUUCUCUGUGCAAUAUCACGGGCGCUAGAACACAGGCCUUCUACAGGUCCAAGAGCACAGAAGGGGGAAGGUAAUACAGAAAAGAGGGGAGGACGUUUGAGCUGGAUCUGGAGGAGGAUAAUGAGUUUGUCAACUGGCUCAGGGAGAAAAAGCCACCUUGGGAAAAAGAACAGCAUUUUCAAAAACCUAGUAUCAUGAAAGAGCAUUGUGUAUUUACGGAUUGGGAAGUGAUUCCAUGUAUUAGGGUGGAGUGUGGGAAGAGAAGAGUGGGAGAUGAAGCAGGGAAGAAAGCAAGGCUGUGAUUGGCUCUGUAUGCUGUACUUAACCAUUGAGAGAUUUUUACAGAUUUUACUGAUAGGGUUAGUUUUUGAUGGAAGCUAGUUAUUCUGUUGGCUACUUGGGCACUCUUGUGAAUAUGCUAUUUCUCUUCUCUGAUGGCCAAAUGAUGCUAGUGCCAGGGUGGGGACAGCUGAACCCAGCAGGAGAAAAACUAGAUAGGGUGCAGAGCUGGCCGGUUUCUACUAUAUAGAUCCGCACAUGAUGGUAUCCAGGAAUGCUCUUGACUGACUUGGAUUUGGCAUGUGUGUGUGCAUGAUGAUAUUUGGGUCUAUAAUGGGCUGGGGUGGAGGAUAAAUCCUGGAGCUCACUCAGGUACUAGAAAUUCUUAAUUACGCUUGUGCUCACGACUAUGCCAACAGAGUUGCCCUUCAGGUUCCCUCGAGACAUGAGUAAUAGGUGUAAUAUGUGAAUGUUUCUCUGACCUCCCCCUCCCUCAGUAAAUGGGGGAGUAUUUUAGUCCAAGAGAAAAAGGGAAACACAGAGGAACUGGUGUGAGAGAUAAAAUCCUUGAAAAAAAGUCCUUGUUAGUUUUUCUCAAAGGUUUAAUCUUUUUUCUCGAAAUUAGUCAGCAUGGCAGAGUGGUUAAGAGCAAACUUUGGAAGGAGAUUAUUUUAGGCUCUUAUUCUGACUCUAUCAAUUAACAGCUGUGGGACCUGUGGCAAGUCAGGCAGCAUCUCUUAACCUAAUUUCUCACCUGUAAACUGGGCAAAAUAACACCUAUGUGCAGAGUAGUAAGAAUCAAAUGAAGAAAUGAGUGGAAAGUACUUAGCAUAAUACCCAUCACGUGGUAAUCGUGGACUCCAUUAGUCUUUGUGAGAGAUUUCCUAUCAAGCAUCUUUUUGGAUCUGAUGGUACCAGCUUUGCUUUGUAAAUAAACUUUUUCUUGCCUGUUUCCAUGUGUAAUAUGUCCUGUUCAUAUGUGACAUCAUCAACCUUUGGCCCUCCUCUCUCUUCUAAUGGUUGCUGUAAGGAACCACGAGACUCUGUUCCCCUUUCUGGGCAGCUCCUCUGUCCCACUUUUUGUUUCCAUUUUGACACCUUCGUGCCUGCCUCUAGACAGUUCUGGUUCAUCAAUAAUCAUGUCUAAGCAGUAUUUUUUGAUCUGUGAAAUAACACGGUAAUAAUUAAUAUGACUCUAUAUUUUGUGUUUCCUCCUAAGAACUGAGAUCUUCUUUCAUUCUUUUUAAGUUGACUCCUGAGUCACGAACAUUAGAAAACUGAAAACAAAGUCUCUAGAUACAGGGUAGCGACUAGGCUUAAAUACUUAACCAUCAUACAGCCAAUUAUUAUUAUUUUUUUUUGCUGAGGAAGAUUAGCCCUGAGCUAAUAUCUGUGCCAAUCUUCCUCUAUUUUGUAUGUGGGUCACCUCCACAGCAUGGCUUAACGAGUGGUGUAGGUCUGCACCUGGGAUCCAAACCUGAGAACCUGGGCCACUGAAGCAGAUUGUGCAGAACUUCACCACUACACCAUGGGGCUGGCCCCCAAAUAUUAUUUCUGACACUAGAAAAUUUGACAUUAGAAUGAUAAGAUUGGAAAUACUUGGCUUGUUAUAUCUCAAUAAAGAUUAUUUGCAUUCAAACUUGCAAUCAGGAAUUACCUUUAAUUCUUUAGGCUUUUUCCAAAUAUCCAAGAAAAAGCUACCACUUGCCAAAGAUAAGUUUUGCAUAAUUAUAAUUUAGCAUAGAGAAGAUGGGAUUUUGAAUUAGAAACCUAGGUUAAAGGAUCAUGCAUAUUCUGGCAUCAUUUUUGGUUAACUAUUAACUUGUCUCUCAGUUCUUCCAUCUAAAAUGGAAUCAACAAACCCUCACUAUCUUUUGUUUAUAGGAAAGUAGUAAAGCUGAAUAAAGUACUAUACAUAUGAAAGCAUUCUGACUCCUUGGAGGAAAGCUAUUAUUUAAAUUCGAGGUAUUAUUACUGGCAAUGAUAAGAACAGCAGGAAUAUGCAGACUGCUUAGUUUAUCCCUUGACCUUCUAUGAGCUUCGGUAGGCAGCUUUGAGGGUUCCUGUACAUUUCAUUGUCACAGUCGUAAAGCUGACAGGAGAGCCCUCAGUUACAUGAUGGAGGUGGAAAAGGUUAUGCUAUUACAUGGGGACAGCAUGGACAAUGUCAUGUGGAAUAUGCUGCAGAUAAAGAUUUAGAAAACCAGUUUAAGUUCUUGUUGCCAUCUUUGAGGUCUCAGCGUUAUUCAUAACAGGACUACCAGAGUGUAGAAUGUGAGGCCUUUUCUACCUCAAUUAAAAAUAGGAAACUUAGUGUAAGAUGUGUGUGUGGGCAGAAUGAAUAGUAAGAACUGGCAGGGCCUGUUCCACCCUUCCUUCCUUCGUAAUCUGAUCUAUAGUAUCUUUUCUAUUGUUUUCCAGCACAAAUCUCUAUUCUUUGUAUCUCAUAGUGUCUUAAUAUUCUGGACUUUCAGUGCCUUUAUAACAAGUCAUUUAGGUUUUAAUUUUCUCAUGACUCAGUUCAGUAAAUAUCCCGAUGAGUAUAAAUAUCUUUAGCUUUGUGUUGAAAUCUUUGUUUUGCUUUGUAAGCCCAAUAUUAUCUUGUAGCAGGUGCAGAUUCUGUGUUUUCUGAGUUCUUAACAAACAUAAAUCCCUAGUGGAGAUAUUUUUCAUUCCCUGAAUGCCUUUGUUCUGAUAAUGAUGCUUAUAAAACACAGACAGAUCCUUCCUAGAUUCCACCGCUAAGCAUAUAUUUCAAGAAAAGCCAGUGUUCAUCAGGAAGUGGGGAACUGCCUACGGGUUUUUGGAGAUACAUGCGUACAUCUUUGAGUAAGUUUGAUCGAGAUAAAAGCCACUUUAUUUAUUGCAACCCUCUGGCUUCAGUGCGGUUCACAGAAAGUGUGUCACACCGUGAAACUGUUCGUGCCCCUUUCUGUGCUCCUAGAGUCAUUUAGUUGUUAAAACAUAAUUUAAAAUGAUAAUUGCUAGAAAUGGGAUUGUCAGGGAAGCGUUCCAGGGUAGCUUUGAGAAUAAAUACAGAACAUUUAUAAGCACACUUUUUAAAACCGGUUUCCCAGACUCUACUUAAGAGAUAUCCAGGUGAGGGAAAAAAUGAAACCAGUAUUUUUUCCCAUUCACGUAGUCUGCAUCAUAAUUUUCCAGAAGCAAGCGUCUGUUUGCAAAUAACAGAAUGGUGCCCUGAUGCCUCUCUCUCUGUGUUGCUGAUGGAAGUAAUGAUACGGGUGUGGAAUCUCAGAGGCUAAUGCUUGUUAUGUUAAUAAGAUCACCUCUAGUAUACCUUGCAAAUUGCUAGACACAGUGACAGAUUCUGCCUUUACAACUUUCUCUUGCAGGUUUAGAAAGUUGCCUACCCAUCUUAAAGUAAAUAUAAGCGUAAUAAGCUCCUACCAACUAUUCAGGAGAAGCUUGUUGGGACUCUCAGACUCAUGGGACCGAUCUUUAAAGGAGUAGAUGGAUGCUUCUAUCUCUAUCUCCAUUCUGAUCUUGAUCCAGAGCUGGCAGCUCACAUUUCCCACUGCUGGUAGCCAUUUUCUUGUGAAUGCCUCUUUGUUGCCUAAAAUGCUACAUGGCUAAAGCUAAACUCUAAAUUUGUUCAUGUGUUUAUUCUUUACUUCACUUAGUCGAUUGACAAAAUCUCUCAAAUGUUUUUUCCCUCGCUUCCUUCCUCUCUGUCCCCCUUCCUCUCUCCCUCCCUCCUUCCUUCCUUUUAUCCAUCUGUGCAUUUAUCCAAGCAGCAUAUAUUAAGAGUACCCUCUAUGUGGAUCCCUGCAGCUAUACAGACAUCAACGAGGCAACCACAUGAUUUUCUGUCUUCCUUCUUUGCUGAUAGAACUAUUUAAGGGUCUUCUAUCUAAAUCUUUAUUUUCAGUUUCCCUUAUCUUUUUCUCGUCGUUUUCCCACCAACUUCCUAUCCAUCCACAUUGUCACCAAAUUAGUCUUUUGAAAAACUUUUCUUUGAAUACAUCACUCUGUGUUUAAAAAGGCCUUUAUUGGUUUUUAUUUUCUGCAGGAGAAUGGAAGUGGUUUGGGGCUGGGGGUGGGUGUGGGGAGAAGCACUUCUUUCCUCCUCACUCUCCUCAUGCCGUGCCUGCUGUGUCUUUCCAGUGGAUGGCCUCUUCACCGACUUCAUCAACUCCCCACCCCAGGACCACUGACGUGUUCAGUCCCUUCUGAAUAAGCUGUGUGCCUUCCUAGUGCUACGCCUGGCUCAUCUUUUUCUAAAUCACCCCCCUAGCUAUCCUACCAAUACAAAUUCUGCCUUAUCCUUCAAGAUUCGAUUCAACCUUGAUCCACAAGACCAGGGAUUUUUUCUGUGACCAUAUUUUUUCUGUGAAGGCCUGGAUAGUAAAUAUUUCAGGCUUCUGGGCCAUACAACCCCUGUAGCAACCGUUAAACACUGUUAUAACAUGAAUGGAGACAUAGAGAAAAUGUAAAGAAAUGAGUGGGGCUGUGUUCCAAUAGAACCCUGUGGACAUUGAAAUGUUACUUUCAAACAAUUUUCAAGUGUCAUAAUAUAUUACUCUUCUUUAGAAUUUCAUCCAACUGUUUAAAAAUAUAAAAAAGCCAUUUAGCUCAUGGGCCACAUAAAAAAGGUGGCAGGUGGACUUGGCCUGUGGGCUGCAGUUUGCAGUCUCCUGUUCUGGCAGAAGAUUCUCUCAUGUAAUUCCUUGUGGUAAAUCGUCUGAAUCAGGCACUUGGUGCGCAGGGGACGUUUUAUAUACUGACCCGCACUGCAUUUAAGUUCAUGUUUAUCACCUUUACUCGGACCAGAAUCCGUGGAAGCAGGGUCUUUAUUUCAUAAAUUUUCCUGUUUCCUCAGCUUUCAUGUAAUUAGUGCUCCAUGAAACUAUGAUGCUGUGAGUGAUUCAAGCAAGCUCUGUCAGAUGAGUCUUUCUGCCUCUGUGUUUAAGUCAAAGUAAAUAAGAACAUUUUUUUACCAGAUAAUUUGUUGCAGAAUUAUCAUCUCUUUCUUUGUAUGUGUUCAUGUGUGAAUUUAAAAUGCAGCUUCUUGUAAAUUAGAGAAAUACGUAUGACAUACACUUAUUUUUUUAUUUAUAAUCAGUAUAGCGUUAAUAUGGAAAUAUUUGCUUCUGUGGCAAAUAAAAUAAAUUAGGAAAACAACAUGACGAAAUUAGGAUAGCAGAGCUUCCAAAAUGCAUUUUUAGAACCAGGACAGUGAAGGUGACUUCCCUUAAGACCUCUUAGGCUGCCAGGAAACCAGCAUUACUCAGUACUCCUGUGGACCCCAGACACUGUAGUUACAGGUGGUCCUGACACACCCCGGUGUCUGUGGUCUGCCCGUGUUCAUUGCUGGCAGAGCUGAGGCCACUGAACAGGUCAUAGCUAUCACGGUCUUUGCAAAUAGUGCCGGCCUUCAAUUUAAGAAACAGUUGAAUAAAAAGUUGUGCAUUUGGUUAACUAGAAAGGUAAGUAUUUCCAGGUAUUAAAAGCAUGCCACAGAGGAAGCAAGGCCAGGCACUUCUCCUUUCAUUAGCUUUAUAACCCUCAGUCUCAAAAAAAGGUGCUACAGAUACUCCUCCGAGUAGAUGGGGGCGUGGGAUGAGCUCUGCAGUUCUUUUGGUUUUUUGUGUUUGUUGGUAGUUUUUCAGGCCAGCUGGCUAAGCGCGGACUAUUUCUAGCCUAAAGGAAGCUCUGAGGGAGACCUUGUGAUUUAGUUGCUAAGUAAGUAUUUCUGCAGAUGCUGUUAUCUUUAGGUAAUAAUGCCCUACUUUGCAAAUGAAACUAUGCAUUUAUUUUGGAGAAAAAGUUGGAUUUCUGAAAUCUUGAGUUUUCUAAUCUGGGAUUCUGUUAUUAACCACUGGUGGAUCUAAAGAUGCUGGCCCUCCUUUGAAAAGUAAGGUAUUGGCCUAAAUGGUGUGCAAAUGUCUCUCUGGCUUUAUGACUCUGCUUGUGUUUGAAUGCCUCCUAGGAGAGAGAAUAUCCUGGUUUCUCAGGCUGAAUGGAGAAGAGACUUCCUGGUCUAGCUGUGUAGGGUGGAACUCUCGACACACAUGAGGUGCAGACAUGGGACCCUCUUCAUACAUAACGGAAGCUACUCACUGUCAUUUCGAUCACUUGGGCCCUUUUUGCAUGCACUUCCUGCUUCUGAGAGGCCUUGCUUAUGAAAAGGUAGAAUAAACUCUCUGGUUGGUCACCAGUGGUUAUAAUACUUUAAAUAACUCAGAUUACUUUGGGUUAAGCAGGAUUGAAAAAUAUUAUUUUUCUUGCCCGUGGGAGCAAAUCAGGCAAGAUUUAUUUCUAAUCUCUCACUUGCUCUCUUUUCUGAAACUCAGUUUUGUGUCCUUGCUCUCCUCUUUUUUCUUUUCUUUUGAAAUCCAGUUUUCUGCCUUAUAUUAGAGUUGAGCGGUUUGUAGGUUGAGUUGUUUAAUCCGGACAAAUAUGACUUCCUUGGCUUUCUUGAUUGUUCUGACCACAGUUAUGCUGGCAGAACUGACCCCCCCCUCCCCCGGCCUUCUAGGGUACGCUGUGGGGACACGAGCAUAACUGGGGAGUCAGACCUAUUUUAAAAUACUAAUUUCAUUGUUGGCUGGUCAUAGUAAACUGGCAAAAUCAUUUCACCUCCCUGAGCCUUAGUUUUCUAGUUUUUUUAAAGACUAAAUUAAACAGAACAUACAAAUAAUCUAACACACUAUUUAACUCGGAGUAGGAAUACAAUAAAUAUUACUUCUUGGCCCCACACCCUCACUUAGGUCUUUUUGCUGUUACUGUUUGCUGCUGUUGUUAUAGUCUGGCAGCCGGGUAGUUGUUGAUUUUCAUGACUAAAAUAGUUUUUUACAGUGAGAUGCACUUCCAAGAAUCUUAGAAUUCUUACUGGUUGCUACACCCUCUACCCUCACCCCCAACGUUAACAAAACGUGAAACAAAUAGCUAUUCUUUUGCAUAGUUUUCUUACAAAGAGAGAGCUAGAACUAAAAAGUAGUUAAAUUUGAGGCUGCAGAGAGGAAACGAAGGAGGUGGGAGUAGGACCUGAAAUUCUUGCUUUUCACAGCGUUAAGAUAAGCGUUAUAAGAGCAUGUUCUCUCCUUGGAAUGUCUUAUCACCUAUUUUGUGUAAAUAUCCAGAGACAUGGUUUGACAUUUUGUUUUCUUAAGAAAAAAAUCUCACAGAAAAUUUUAGGCUGCUAUAAUUUUUUAGUGCAUGGUAUGUUGUGCUCCAACAUAGAAAUUUUAAAAAACAGUUAAAUAAAGAGGCCCCCAAAUCUCUUCACACAUAACACCUGACACUAGCUCUUCUCCGUCUUAAGUUCCAAAGUGAACUCUCAUUUCGUGUCAGUGAGUAUUGGUGCUUUAGCACAAUAGAGAUGUUCUCUGACUAGUGAUCAUUUUCAGUCUUUACGAACCUUGAUUUUUUUUUUUUAAAGAUUUUAUUUUGCUUUUUCUCCCAAAGCCCCCCGGUACAUAGUUGUGUAUUUCUUUUAGAUAUGGGUCCUUCUAGUUGCGGCAUGUGGGAUGCCACCUCAGCAUGGCUUGAUGAGUGGUACCAUGUCCGCGCCCAGGAUCCGAACCCGUGAAACCCCGGGCCACCGAAGCAGAGCGCGCGGACCCAACCACUCAGCCACGGGACCGGCCCCUACAAACCUUGAUUUUAGAGUCUCAGUUCCUUUAAAAUUUUGGACAUGAACCCACCUGAACAACAACUACCAAAACUCCUCCAACUGGCUUCCAUUGCUGAACAGAUACAUUCCGAUUUCUCUGACAAGUAAAUGUAAAGUGUACAAUGAACCUGACCAGUGCUUUGACAAACAUCGUUGAAGUGUAAUGAGAUCUCUUUACGCUUUCUUUCUUUUCUGUUGUUACUAGGGCUUUCUUGUAAAUAAAUAAACCGCAUUAGUCAGUGUUGAGAAGACAUUCUCUCGUUCAUUAACUGGGAAAGGUAAAUUGAACUUAGGUGCUUUAAUUUCAGAAAAUUGUUUUGCUAAAAUUUUCUUAAUUUAUGUAACCUUUAUCAUAGGACACUCAUUCGUAAUUUUUUACUGUAAUGGUAUAAAAAUGAAAAUACCUUUUGAGAUCAUUACCCUAGUCCAUAUCUGUUAUGGGCUCAAUUGUGCCCCCCAAAAUUCCUAUGCUGAAAUUCUAACCCCUAGUACCUCAGAAUGUGACUGUAUUUGGAGACUGGGUCUAUAAGACGUGUUAAGGUAAAAUGAGGCCGUGAAAGUGGGCCCUUAUCCAAAAAAACUGGUGUCCUUCGAAGAACAGAGGGUUAGGACAGAGACGCACACAGAAGGAAGACAGUGUGACAACACGGGGAGAAGACGGCCAUCUGCAAGUCAGAGAGAGGCCUCAGGGGACAUCAACCCUGUGGACGCCUUGAUCUCUGAUUUCUAGCCUCCAAAGUCGUGAGAAAAAUAAAUUUCUGUCGUUUCAAUCACCCAGCCUGUGGUACUUCGUUAUGGCAGCCCUAGCAAAUUAAUAUAAUGUCUUAAAUUUGGCAAUAAUACUGUCUGACAGAGUAAGAAUUUCCUGUGUGAGUCUUUCCUUCUGCAAAAAUUAUCUUUAAUUCUUUUUAAAAUAAAACCAAAAUGUGACUGGCAAACUUUCUGUGCAUAAGUAUAUUAAAUAUUUUUUUCUGUAUGGACGAGUAUUCUUUUUGUUUUACUUUUUUUUAUCGCAGUAACAGUGGAUUAUAACAUUGUAUAGCUUUCAGAUGUACAUCGUAAUAUAUUUUGAAUUCUGUGUAGAUUACAUCAUGUUCACCACCCGAAAACUAAUUAUGGUCUAUCACUUCACAUGUGAGCCUAAU
Molecule: long non-coding RNA, 13843 nt
Organism: Equus caballus (horse)
Lineage: Eukaryota; Metazoa; Chordata; Mammalia; Perissodactyla; Equidae
Source: Ensembl